This 457-nucleotide ribosomal RNA is filed under the name uncultured bacterium. Its description in RNAcentral is "bacterial SSU rRNA". It matches the Rfam family "Bacterial small subunit ribosomal RNA", at positions 28 to 467 of the family's 1533-position model. The record is from RNAcentral.
GACGAACGCUGGCGGCGUGCUUAACACAUGCAAGUCGAACGGAACUCUUUGGAUCAAGACUUCGGUCAAGUGAAGUUGAGUUUAGUGGCGGACGGGUGAGUAACGCGUGAGGAACCUGCCUUUCAGAGGGGGACAACAGUUGGAAACGACUGCUAAUACCGCAUGAUACUUGCGAAUGGCAUCAUUUGCAAGUCAAAGAUUUAUCGCUGAAAGAUGGCCUCGCGUCUGAUUAGCUAGUUGGUGGGGUAACGGCCCACCAAGGCGACGAUCAGUAGCCGGCCUGAGAGGGUGGACGGCCACAUUGGGACUGAGACACGGCCCAAACUCCUACGGGAGGCAGCAGUGGGGAAUAUUGGACAAUGGGGGCGAACCCUGAUCCAGCGACGCCGCGUGAGUGAAGAAGUAUUUCGGUAUGUAAAGCUCUAUCAGCAAGGAAGAAAAAUAGACGGUAACGUUG